CCUACGGGUGGCUGCAGUGGGGAAUAUUGGACAAUGGGGGCAACCCUGAUCCAGCCAUGCCGCGUGUGUGAAGAAGGCCCUCGGGUUGUAAAGCACUUUCAGUGAGGAAGAACGCCUGGUGGUUAAUACCCAUCAGGAAAGACAUCACUCACAGAAGAAGCACCGGCUAACUCCGUGCCAGCAGCCGCGGUAAUACGGAGGGUGCGAGCGUUAAUCGGAAUUACUGGGCGUAAAGCGCGCGUAGGUGGCUUGAUAAGCCGGUUGUGAAAGCCCCGGGCUCAACCUGGGAACGGCAUCCGGAACUGUCAAGCUAGAGUGCAGGAGAGGAAGGUAGAAUUCCCGGUGUAGCGGUGAAAUGCGUAGAGCUCGGGAGGAAUACCAGUGGCGAAGGCGGCCUUCUGGACUGACACUGACACUGAGGUGCGAAAGCGUGGGUAGCAAACAGGAUUAGAUACCCUGGUAGUC
Molecule: ribosomal RNA, 465 nt
Filed under: Vreelandella stevensii
Lineage: Bacteria; Pseudomonadati; Pseudomonadota; Gammaproteobacteria; Oceanospirillales; Halomonadaceae
Description: partial 16S ribosomal RNA
Rfam family: Bacterial small subunit ribosomal RNA
Source: RNAcentral